RNAcentral lists this ribosomal RNA (675 nucleotides) under Bacillus tequilensis. RNAcentral describes it as "bacterial SSU rRNA". It matches the Rfam family "Bacterial small subunit ribosomal RNA", at positions 56 to 713 of the family's 1533-position model. Lineage: Bacteria; Bacillati; Bacillota; Bacilli; Caryophanales; Bacillaceae. The record is from RNAcentral.
UGCAAGUCGAGCGGACAGAUGGGAGCUUGCUCCCUGAUGUUAGCGGCGGACGGGUGAGUAACACGUGGGUAACCUGCCUGUAAGACUGGGAUAACUCCGGGAAACCGGGGCUAAUACCGGAUGGUUGUUUGAACCGCAUGGUUCAAACAUAAAAGGUGGCUUCGGCUACCACUUACAGAUGGACCCGCGGCGCAUUAGCUAGUUGGUGAGGUAACGGCUCACCAAGGCAACGAUGCGUAGCCGACCUGAGAGGGUGAUCGGCCACACUGGGACUGAGACACGGCCCAGACUCCUACGGGAGGCAGCAGUAGGGAAUCUUCCGCAAUGGACGAAAGUCUGACGGAGCAACGCCGCGUGAGUGAUGAAGGUUUUCGGAUCGUAAAGCUCUGUUGUUAGGGAAGAACAAGUACCGUUCGAAUAGGGCGGUACCUUGACGGUACCUAACCAGAAAGCCACGGCUAACUACGUGCCAGCAGCCGCGGUAAUACGUAGGUGGCAAGCGUUGUCCGGAAUUAUUGGGCGUAAAGGGCUCGCAGGCGGUUUCUUAAGUCUGAUGUGAAAGCCCCCGGCUCAACCGGGGAGGGUCAUUGGAAACUGGGGAACUUGAGUGCAUAAGAGGAGAGUGGAAUUCCACGUGUAGCGGUGAAAUGCGUAGAGAUGUGGAGGAACACCAGU